UACGAAGGGGGCUAGCGUUGUUCGGAAUUACUGGGCGUAAAGCGCACGUAGGCGGAUAUUUAAGUCAGGGGUGAAAUCCCGGGGCUCAACCCCGGAACUGCCUUUGAUACUGGGUAUCUUGAGUGUGGUAGAGGUGAGUGGAAUUGCGAGUGUAGAGGUGAAAUUCGUAGAUAUUCGCAGGAACACCAGUGGCGAAGGCGGCUCACUGGACCACAACUGACGCUGAGGUGCGAAAGCGUGGGGAGCAAACAGGG
Molecule: ribosomal RNA, 254 nt
Filed under: uncultured bacterium
Lineage: Bacteria
Description: partial 16S ribosomal RNA
Rfam family: Bacterial small subunit ribosomal RNA
Source: RNAcentral